Molecule: ribosomal RNA, 450 nt
Filed under: uncultured bacterium
Lineage: Bacteria
Description: bacterial SSU rRNA
Rfam family: Bacterial small subunit ribosomal RNA
Source: RNAcentral
UGGGGAAUCUUGCGCAAUGCGCGAAAGCGUGACGCAGCAACGCCGCGUGCGGGAAGACGGCCUUCGGGUUGUAAACCGCUUUCAGUUGGGACGAAGCUUCGGUUCGUUAAUAGCGGGCCGGAGUGACGGUACCUUCAGAAGAAGCCCCGGCUAACUACGUGCCAGCAGCCGCGGUAAUACGUAGGGGGCAAGCGUUGUCCGGAAUCAUUGGGCGUAAAGCGCGUGUAGGCGGCUGAGUAAGUCCGUUCUGAAAGCCCGGGGCUCAACCCCGGGAGGCGGAUGGAUACUGCUCAGCUCGAGUCCGGAAGAGGCGAGUGGAAUUCCUGGUGUAGCGGUGAAAUGCGCAGAUAUCAGGAGGAACACCUAUGGCGAAGGCAGCUCGCUGGGACGGUACUGACGCUGAGACGCGAAAGCGUGGGGAGCGAACAGGAUUAGAUACCCCCGUAGUCC